AUUGAACGCUGGCGGCAGGCUUAACACAUGCAAGUCGAGCGGGGUGAUGGUGCUUGCACUAUCACUUAGCGGCGGACGGGUGAGUAAUGCUUAGGAAUCUGCCUAUUAGUGGGGGACAACAUUUCGAAAGGGAUGCUAAUACCGCAUACGUCCUACGGGAGAAAGCAGGGGAUCACUUGUGACCUUGCGCUAAUAGAUGAGCCUAAGUCGGAUUAGCUAGGUGGUGGGGUAAAGGCCUACCAAGGCGACGAUCUGUAGCGGGUCUGAGAGGAUGAUCCGCCACACUGGGACUGAGACACGGGCCAGACUCCUACGGGAGGCAGCAGUGGGGAAUAUUGGACAAUGGGGGGAACCCUGGUCCAGCCAUGCCGCGUGUGUGAAGAAGGCCCUAUGGUUGUAAAGCACUUUAAGCGAGGAGGAGGCUCUUUUGGUUAAUACCCAAGAUGAGUGGACGUUACUCGCAGAAUAAGCACCGGCUAACUCUGUGCCAGCAGCCGCAGUAA
This 503-nucleotide ribosomal RNA is filed under the name uncultured bacterium. RNAcentral describes it as "partial 16S ribosomal RNA". It matches the Rfam family "Bacterial small subunit ribosomal RNA", at positions 30 to 523 of the family's 1533-position model. The record is from RNAcentral.